Molecule: non-coding RNA, 76 nt
Organism: Ceratotherium simum simum (southern white rhinoceros)
Lineage: Eukaryota; Metazoa; Chordata; Mammalia; Perissodactyla; Rhinocerotidae
Source: RefSeq, a predicted model, not a curated record
GGGUUUGCCGGUUCGGAUCCCAGGCUGGGACCUACGCAAUGCUCAUCAAGACAUGCAGUGACAGGCAUCCUACAUA